RNAcentral lists this transfer RNA (70 nucleotides) under Coleoptera sp. ACP-2013. Its description in RNAcentral is "tRNA-Arg". Lineage: Eukaryota; Metazoa; Arthropoda; Insecta; Coleoptera. The record is from RNAcentral.
AAUAAGAAACAUCUACUCCCCCCCAUGUAAUUAGUUUCGACCUAAUAGAAGGUUCCCAACCCUUAUUUAG